Molecule: non-coding RNA, 202 nt
Filed under: human gut metagenome
Description: pemK RNA
Rfam family: pemK RNA
Source: RNAcentral
AUAAUGAUACUCCUGUCCAGCCACAGUCCGAGCAUUAGGUCACAAGGCUUCCGCAAAAUCGCAGAUUUUGUGGAAAGAGGAGAAACUACGUAGCGAAUGAGCUUUCGGAAUUUUUCCGUAAGCGAUUUAGCGGAGUCAGUGACGACGAUGUCGCAGGCAAUGGGGGCAGCUCGGAUGAACUCGGAGGGGUGAGAUUCCCGUG